UGGGGAAUAUUGGACAAUGGGGGACCGGUAGCAUCCAGCCACCGCCGCGUCGUGUGAAGAAGGCCAGCUUAUGGUUGUAAAGCACUUUAAGCGAGGAGGAGGCUCUUUUGGUUAAUACCCAAGAUGAGUGGACGUUACUCGCAGAAUAAGCACCGGCUAACUCUGUGCCAGCAGCCGCGGUAAUACAGAGGGUGCGAGCGUUAAUCGGAUUUACUGGGCGUAAAGCGUGCGUAGGCGGCUUUUUAAGUCGGAUGUGAAAUCCCCGAGCUUAACUUGGGAAUUGCAUUCGAUACUGGGAAGCUAGAGUAUGGGAGAGGAUGGUAGAAUUCCAGGUGUAGCGGUGAAAUGCGUAGAGAUCUUGGAGGAAUACCGAUGGCGAAGGCAGCCAUCUGGCCUAAUACUGACGCUGAGGUACGAAAGCAUGGGGAGCAAACA
This 435-nucleotide ribosomal RNA is filed under the name uncultured Acinetobacter sp. Its description in RNAcentral is "bacterial SSU rRNA". It matches the Rfam family "Bacterial small subunit ribosomal RNA", at positions 355 to 774 of the family's 1533-position model. The record is from RNAcentral. Lineage: Bacteria; Pseudomonadati; Pseudomonadota; Gammaproteobacteria; Moraxellales; Moraxellaceae.